GCACCGGGGGCUCGGUGGUUGAGCAGGGGAUUGCAGUAUCACAUGUGAUCAACUAUCCCAAGGCCAUGGGUUCAAAUCCCAUUCGGUGCU
Non-coding RNA from Tulasnella sp. 427, 90 nucleotides. The record is from the annotation of a GenBank genome assembly. Lineage: Eukaryota; Fungi; Basidiomycota; Agaricomycetes; Cantharellales; Tulasnellaceae.